This 440-nucleotide ribosomal RNA is filed under the name Flavobacterium sp. FlavoEI_XT7Tr1BH10_C06_43. RNAcentral describes it as "bacterial SSU rRNA". It matches the Rfam family "Bacterial small subunit ribosomal RNA", at positions 134 to 572 of the family's 1533-position model. Lineage: Bacteria; Pseudomonadati; Bacteroidota; Flavobacteriia; Flavobacteriales; Flavobacteriaceae. The record is from RNAcentral.
CACAGAGGGAUAGCCCAGAUAAAUUUGGAUUAAUACCUCAUAGGAUUAUGACCCGGCAUCGGGAUAUAAUUAAAGUCACGACGGUGAAAGAUGAGCAUGCGUCCCAUUAGCUAGUUGGUAAGGUAACGGCUUACCAAGACAACGAUGGGUAGGGGUCCUGAGAGGGAGAUCCCCCACACUGGUACUGAGACACGGACCAGACUCCUACGGGAGGCAGCAGUGAGGAAUAUUGGUCAAUGGGCGCAAGCCUGAACCAGCCAUGCCGCGUGCAGGAUGACGGUCCUAUGGAUUGUAAACUGCUUUUGUACGAGAAGAAACAACAUUACGUGUAAUGUCUUGACGGUAUCGUAAGAAUAAGGAUCGGCUAACUCCGUGCCAGCAGCCGCGGUAAUACGGAGGAUCCAAGCGUUAUCCGGAAUCAUUGGGUUUAAAGGGUCCGU